AUUGAACGCUGGCGGCAGGCCUAACACAUGCAAGUCGAACGAGUGGCGGACGGGUGAGUAAUGUCUGGGAAACUGCCUGAUGGAGGGGGCUAACUACUGGAACCGGUAGCUAAUACCGCAUACCAUCAGAUGGGCUCAGAUGGGUUUAGCUAGUUGGUGGGGUAACGGCUCACCAAGGCGACGAUCCCUAGCUGGUCUGAGAGGAUGACCAGCCACACUGGAACUGAGACACGGUCCAGACUCCUACGGGAGGCAGCAGUGGGGAAUAUUGCACAAUGGGCGCAAGCCUGAUGCAGCCAUGCCGCGUGUAUGAAGAAGGCCUUCGGGUUGUAAAGUACUUUCAGCGGGGAGGCGUUACCCGCAGAAGAAGCACCGGCUAACUCCGUGCCAGCAGCCGCGGUAAUUC
This 406-nucleotide ribosomal RNA is filed under the name uncultured bacterium. RNAcentral describes it as "partial 16S ribosomal RNA". It matches the Rfam family "Bacterial small subunit ribosomal RNA", at positions 30 to 526 of the family's 1533-position model. The record is from RNAcentral.